CCUACGGGGGGCAGCAGUGAGGAAUAUUGGUCAAUGGACGAGAGUCUGAACCAGCCAAGUAGCGUGAAGGAUGACUGCCCUCUGGGUUGUAAACUUCUUUUAUAUGGGAAUAAAAUGUUCCACGUGUGGGAUUUUGUAUGUACCAUAUGAAUAAGGAUCGGCUAACUUCGUGCCAGCAGCCGCGGUAAUACGGAGGAUCCGAGCGUUAUCCGGAUUUAUUGGGUUUAAAGGGAGCGUAGGUGGAUUGUUAAGUCAGUUGUGAAAGUUUGCGGCUCAACCGUAGAAUUGCAGUUGAAACUGGCAGUCUUGAGUACAGUAGAGGUGGGCGGAAUUCGUGGUGUAGCGGUGAAAUGCUUAGAUAUCACGAAGAACUCCGAUUGCGAAGGCAGUUCACUGGACUGCAACUGACACUGAGGCUCGAAAGUGUGGGUAUCAAACAGGAUUAGAUACCCUAGUAGUC
Molecule: ribosomal RNA, 460 nt
Filed under: uncultured bacterium
Lineage: Bacteria
Description: partial 16S ribosomal RNA
Rfam family: Bacterial small subunit ribosomal RNA
Source: RNAcentral